RNAcentral lists this ribosomal RNA (378 nucleotides) under Escherichia coli. RNAcentral describes it as "partial 16S ribosomal RNA". It matches the Rfam family "Bacterial small subunit ribosomal RNA", at positions 194 to 536 of the family's 1533-position model. The record is from RNAcentral. Lineage: Bacteria; Pseudomonadati; Pseudomonadota; Gammaproteobacteria; Enterobacterales; Enterobacteriaceae.
GGGGGACCUUCGGGCCUCUUGCCAUCGGAUGUGCCCAGAUGGGAUUAGCUAGUAGGUGGGGUAACGGCUCACCUAGGCGACGAUCCCUAGCUGGUCUGAGAGGAUGACCAGCCACACUGGAACUGAGACACGGUCCAGACUCCUACGGGAGGCAGCAGUGGGGAAUAUUGCACAAUGGGCGCAAGCCUGAUGCAGCCAUGCCGCGUGUAUGAAGAAGGCCUUCGGGUUGUAAAGUACUUUCAGCGGGGAGGAAGGGAGUGAAGUUAAUACCUUUGCUUAGUGACGAUACCCCCAGAAGAAAGAGCGGAUAACCCCCCGCGAGCAGCCCCCUCAUAUUGAGGGCGCAACCCCCCCCGGGAAGGGGGGAGUAAAUCCCCC